UACGGGGGGGGCAAGCGUUGUUCGGAAUUACUGGGCGUAAAGGGCGCGUAGGCGGCCUUCUAAGUCAGACGUGAAAUCCCCAGGCUUAACUUGGGAACUGCGUCUGAUACUGGGAGGCUUGAAUGCGGGAGAGGGAUGUGGAAUUCCAGGUGUAGCGGUGAAAUGCGUAGAUAUCUGGAGGAACACCGGUGGCGAAGGCGGCAUCCUGGACCGACAUUGACGCUGAGGCGCGAAAGCUAGGGGAGCAAACGGG
Molecule: ribosomal RNA, 253 nt
Filed under: uncultured bacterium
Lineage: Bacteria
Also listed under: 1 other name
Description: partial 16S ribosomal RNA
Rfam family: Bacterial small subunit ribosomal RNA
Source: RNAcentral